CUAUACUGCAAGUCGAGCGCGGGAAGCAGGCAGAUCCCUUCGGGGUGAAACCUGUGGAACGAGCGGCGGACGGGUGAGUAACACGUGGGCAACCUGCCUGAAAGUUCGGGAUAACUCCGGGAAACCGGGGCUAAUACCGGAUGAGCCUGUCGACCGCCUGGUCGACGGGGAAAAGCGGGGAUUUUUCCUCGCGCUUUCAGAUGGGCCCGCGGCGCAUUAGUUAGUUGGAGAGGUAAGAGCUCCCCAAGGCAGCGAUGCGUAGCCGACCUGAGAGGGUGAUCGGCCACACUGGGACUGAGACACGGCCCAGACUCCUACGGGAGGCAGCAGUAGGGAAUCAUCCGCAAUGGGCGAAAGCCUGACGGUGCAACGCCGCGUGAGUGAAGAAGGUUUUCGGAUCGUAAAGCUCUGUUAUCCGAGAAGAACAAGGACCGGUCGAACAGGCCGGUUCCAUGACGGUACCGGAUCAGAAAGCCCCGGCUAACUACGUGCCAGCAGCCGCGGUAAUACGUAGGGGGCAAGCGUUGUCCGGAAUUAUUGGGCGUAAAGGGCGCGCAGGCGGUUUCCUAAGUCUGAUGUGAAAGGCCACGGCUCAACCGUGGAAUGGCAUUGGAAACUGGGGAACUUGAGUACAGGAGAGGAAAGCGGAAUUCCACGUGUAGCGGUGAAAUGCGUAGAGAUGUGGAGGAACACCAGUGGCGAAGGCGGCUUUCUGGCCUGUAACUGACGCUGAGGCGCGAAAGCGUGGGGAGCGAACAGGAUUAGAUACCCUGGUAGUCCACGCCGUAAACGUGAGUGCUAGGUGGUUAGGGGUUUCGAUGCCCUUAGUGCCGAAGCAAACGCAUUAAGCACUCCGCCUGGGGAGUACGACCGCAAGGUUGAACUCAAGGAAUUGAC
Molecule: ribosomal RNA, 897 nt
Filed under: Salibacterium sp.
Lineage: Bacteria; Bacillati; Bacillota; Bacilli; Caryophanales; Bacillaceae
Description: bacterial SSU rRNA
Rfam family: Bacterial small subunit ribosomal RNA
Source: RNAcentral